GACCACUGAUGAAGCUUGAUUCUGCCAAAUGAAUUAUGGUGAUAUCACAAUUCCCGUUCUACUUUUCUCUGAGGUU
RNAcentral lists this small nucleolar RNA (76 nucleotides) under Calidris pygmaea (Spoon-billed sandpiper). RNAcentral's name for it is "Small nucleolar RNA SNORD47 (ENSCPGG00000000713.1)". It matches the Rfam family "Small nucleolar RNA SNORD47". From Rfam's summary of the family: U47 belongs to the C/D class of snoRNA which contain the C (UGAUGA) and D (CUGA) box motifs. Lineage: Eukaryota; Metazoa; Chordata; Aves; Charadriiformes; Scolopacidae. The record is from Rfam by way of RNAcentral.